UUAAAUUCUUUGAAGGGAAUAGUAAAUAUUAUGUUAGUAUAUUAAGCGAGUAGAGGAUGGUGGAAGCUCUAUGAGAAAGUUGAUAUUGAAGACAUCCUGGAGAAGCUUAUCUGAAAUUUUAAGUAGGAUAAGUCGGAUCCCUCCGUUAAAAGGUUAAAGAUGACUUAGUUUAUUAAAUUUUGUCAAAGUAGAAUGGCACCGUGAAGUAUAGUCUUCACUUCUAUA
RNAcentral lists this non-coding RNA (225 nucleotides) under Clostridium puniceum. Its description in RNAcentral is "T-box sequence". It matches the Rfam family "T-box leader". Rfam says of the family: Uncharged tRNA acts as the effector for transcription antitermination of genes in the T-box leader family. T-boxes are found upstream of many aminoacyl-tRNA synthetase genes and some amino acid biosynthetic genes usually in Gram-positive bacteria. Lineage: Bacteria; Bacillati; Bacillota; Clostridia; Eubacteriales; Clostridiaceae. The record is from RNAcentral.